AUGGAUGGUGCCUGCACAAAUGUCACCGACGCCGCACGUUUGGUGCGGCUGCUCAAGGUCCAAGGCUUCAGCGCCACGGAGUGCAUGAAGAGGAUCGGUGGUCCAGACAGGUACAUUCCAUCCAGAUGCACCGUCGAUGGGUACGAGUGGGAAGUCCGUAUCCAUCCUGCUUCGAAGCGAGGCACGGACAGCACCAACCUUUGGGUGUCACUAUUGCUUUCUUUGUGCAGUAGACCCCGUGAAUCCAGCGUGGAAGCGAGCCUAGCCUGUCGGCUGGUACAUCCGAGCCGGAUCCUUGAAACAUUUCAAGAGGGUAGUGCGGCAGGAACCUUCUCUUACGCCGGUGAAUGCUGGCAUCGCGUGUUUCUCAGGCGUAGAGAUGAUUUGGAAGGUUAUCUCAAGGAUGAUACUUUGACCAUACAGUGCGCCAUCGCAGUACUCAGGCCCUUACCGGUACCAAGGAUCCCAGCUGAAGAGGUUCCCGUGCCAUCCUCCAACCUGCACCAGCACCUCGGCGAUAUCCUGCAGAGCAAGAUGGGAUCGGAUGUGACGUUUCUCAUAUGCAACGAGUCGUUUCGUGCCCACAAGAGCAUACUCGCCGCCAGGUCUCCUGUUUUCAAUGCCCAGUUCUUUGGAGAAAUGAAAGAGAAGAGCUCGCGGCAUGUGGUGAUCAUGGACAUGGAACCGGAAGCAUUCAGAGCCAUGAUCCAUUUCAUCUACACGGACACGGUCCCUGAAUUGGAAAAGCAGGAGGAGGUGUUGACGGCGAUGGCUCAGCAUCUGCUCGCAGCCGCUGACAGGUAUGGAGUGGACAGGCUCAAGCUGAUAUGCGAGGCCAAGCUCUCUCGUGGUAUCACUGUGGACACGGCAGGGACAACUCUGGCCUUAGCCCAGCAACACAAUUGUUCACAGCUCAAGACCAAGUGUGUCAAGUUCAUCGUCAGCACUCCUGAAGUUCUUGACGCUGUCCUGGCAACUGAAGGGUAUAAGCACCUGGAGGCAAGCUGCCCUUUGGUGCUAACUGAGCUUCUCAAGUCUGCCCAUGGGAGGAAUGCAGAAGCGUAG
Molecule: ribosomal RNA, 1065 nt
Filed under: Triticum aestivum (bread wheat)
Lineage: Eukaryota; Viridiplantae; Streptophyta; Magnoliopsida; Poales; Poaceae
Description: partial small subunit ribosomal RNA
Source: RNAcentral